UACGAAGGUGGCAAGCGUUGUUCGGAAUCACUGGGCUUAAAGCGCAUGUAGGCGGCCGUGUAAGCGUCUUGUGAAAUCCCUCGGCUCAACCGAGGAAUUGCUGGGCGAACUGCACGGCUUGAGGCAGGUAGGGGUGCGUGGAACUCUUGGUGGAGCGGUGAAAUGCGUAGAUAUCAAGAGGAACGCCGGAGGCGAAAGCGGCGCACUGGGCCUGCCCUGACGCUGAGAUGCGAAAGCUAGGGGAGCAAACGGG
Molecule: ribosomal RNA, 253 nt
Filed under: uncultured bacterium
Lineage: Bacteria
Description: partial 16S ribosomal RNA
Rfam family: Bacterial small subunit ribosomal RNA
Source: RNAcentral